CAACCCCGGGGAAACUCGGGCUAAUACCGCAUACGCCCUACGGGGGAAAGCGGGGGACCUUCGGGCCUCGCGCUAUCAGAUGAGCCGCGCCCGAUUAGCUUGUUGGUGGGGUAACGGCCUACCAAGUCGACGAUCUAUAGCUGGUUUGAGAGGACGAUCAGCAACACUGGGACUGAGACACGGCCCAGACUCCUACGGGAGGCAGCAGUGGAGAAUCUUGGCCAAUGGGCGCAAGCCUGAUCCAGCCAUGCCGCGUGAGCGAUGAAGGCCUUAGGGUCGUAAAACUCUUUCAGCUGUGAAGAUAAUGACGGUAGCAGCAGAAGAAACCCCGGCUAACUCCGUGCCAGCAGCCGCGGUAAUACGGAGGGGGUUAGCGUUGUUCGGAAUUACUGGGCGUAAAGCGCGCGUAGGCGGGACCGUAAGUCAGGGGUGAAAUCCCGGGGCUCAACCCCGGAACUGCCUUUGAUACUGCGGUUCUUGAGUUCGAGAGAGGUGGGCGGAAUUCCGAGUGUAGAGGUGAAAUUCGUAGAUAUUCGGAGGAACACCAGUGGCGAAGGCGGCUUUCUGGCCCGUGCCUGACGCUGAGGCGCGAGAGCGUGGGGAGCAAACUGGAUUAGAUACCCUGGUAGUC
Molecule: ribosomal RNA, 631 nt
Filed under: uncultured Alphaproteobacteria bacterium
Lineage: Bacteria; Pseudomonadati; Pseudomonadota; Alphaproteobacteria
Description: bacterial SSU rRNA
Rfam family: Bacterial small subunit ribosomal RNA
Source: RNAcentral